UACGUAGUGUCCAAGCGUUAUCCGGAAUCACUGGGCGUAAAGCGUGCGUAGGUGGCGUGUUAAGUGUGAUGUUAAAUCGUGUGGCUCAACCAUAUCGAUGUGUCGCAUACUGGCAUGCUAGAGGACAGCAGAGGCAAGUGGAAUUUGUAGUGUAGCAGUGAAAUGCGUAGAUAUGUGGAGGAACACCGAUGGCGAAGGCAGCCCCCUGGGUCAACACUGACGCUCAUGCACGAAAGCGUGGGGAGCAAACAGG
Molecule: ribosomal RNA, 253 nt
Filed under: uncultured bacterium
Lineage: Bacteria
Description: partial 16S ribosomal RNA
Rfam family: Bacterial small subunit ribosomal RNA
Source: RNAcentral